RNAcentral lists this unclassified non-coding RNA (338 nucleotides) under soil metagenome. RNAcentral describes it as "partial contains 5.8S ribosomal RNA, internal transcribed spacer 2, and large subunit ribosomal RNA". The stretch from base 1 to 120 matches the Rfam family "5.8S ribosomal RNA", at positions 35 to 154 of the family's 154-position model. The record is from RNAcentral.
GAUGAAGAACGUAGCGAAAUGCGAUACGUAGUGUGAAUUGCAGAAUUCAGUGAAUCAUCGAAUCUUUGAACGCACAUUGCGCCCUUUGGUAUUCCAAAGGGCAUGCCUGUUCGAGCGUCAUUUGUACCCUCAAGCUUUGCUUGGUGUUGGGCGUCUUGUCUCCAGUCCGCUGGAGACUCGCCUUAAAGUCAUUGGCAGCCGGCCUACUGGUUUCGGAGCGCAGCACAAGUCGCACUCUUUUCCAGCCAAGGUCAGUGUCCAACAAGCCUUUUUUCAACUUUUGACCUCGGAUCAGGUAGGGAUACCCACUGAACUUAAGCAUAUCAAUAAGCGGAGGA